This 502-nucleotide ribosomal RNA is filed under the name uncultured organism. RNAcentral's name for it is "SSU rRNA". It matches the Rfam family "Bacterial small subunit ribosomal RNA", at positions 18 to 509 of the family's 1533-position model. The record is from RNAcentral.
CCUGGCUCAGGAUGAACGCUAGCUACAGGCUUAACACAUGCAAGUCGAGGGGCAACAUGGAGACAGCUUGCUGUCUCUGAUGGCGACCGGCGCACGGGUGCGUAACGCGUGUCCAACCUACCCACGGCUCGGGGACAGCCCAUCGAAAGAUGGAUUAAUACCCGAUGCCGUUACCUAUCUACAUGGAUUGGUAACGAAAGAUUCAUCGGCAGUGGAUGGGGACGCGUCCGAUUAGCUAGACGGCGGGGUAACGGCCCACCGUGGCGACGAUCGGUAGGGGUUCUGAGAGGAAGGUCCCCCACACUGGAACUGAGACACGGUCCAGACUCCUACGGGAGGCAGCAGUGAGGAAUAUUGGUCAAUGGUCGAGAGACUGAACCAGCCAAGUAGCGUGAGGGAUGACUGCCCUAUGGGUUGUAAACCUCUUUUGUUCGGGAAUAACGGGAGCCACGUGUGGCUCCGUGCAUGUACCGUUCGAAUAAGCAUCGGCUAAUUCCGUGCC